RNAcentral lists this ribosomal RNA (252 nucleotides) under uncultured bacterium. Its description in RNAcentral is "partial 16S ribosomal RNA". It matches the Rfam family "Bacterial small subunit ribosomal RNA", at positions 524 to 776 of the family's 1533-position model. The record is from RNAcentral.
UACGUAGGGGGCUAGCGUUGUCCGGAAUCAUUGGGCGUAAAGCGCGUGUAGGCGGCCCGGUAAGUCCGCUGUGAAAGUCGGGGGCUCAACCCUCGGAUGCCGGUGGAUACUGUCGGGCUCGAGUACGGAAGAGGCGAGUGGAAUUCCUGGUGUAGCGGUGAAAUGCGCAGAUAUCAGGAGGAACACCAAUUGCGAAGGCAGCUCGCUGGGACGUUACUGACGCUGAGACGCGAAAGCGUGGGAGCAAACAGG